Molecule: ribosomal RNA, 322 nt
Filed under: uncultured eukaryote
Lineage: Eukaryota
Description: partial 18S ribosomal RNA
Rfam family: Eukaryotic small subunit ribosomal RNA
Source: RNAcentral
CCCUUAGAUGUUCUGGGCUGCACGCGCGCUACACUGAUGCAUUCAACGAGUAUCGUGCCUUACUUGGAAAAGUUUGGUAAUCUGAGGAUAAUGUGCAUCGUGAUGGGAAUUAGAGUCUUGCAACUAUUAGUCUUGAACGAGGAAUUCCUCGUAAGCAUGAGUCAUCAGCUUGUGCUGAUUACGUCCCUGCCCUUUGUACACACCGCCCGUCGCUCCUACCGAUUGGGUGCUCCGGUGAAUUGUUUGGACUGCGUAUUACGUAUCAGUGGUGUGCGGGAAGCUCUGUGAACCUUAGCACCUAGAGGAAGGAGAAGUCGUAACA